GUAAAAAUUAAUAAAAAUGCCACGCAAGAGAAGAACAAAAAGAAGAAGAAAUCAAAACAAAUGUAAAUGGAAAUGGUAAAGAUAUGGAUACAGCUGUAACAGAUGCUACAUCUACUACAGCUACAACGACUGGUACAGAAACUACUACUUCAACAUUUUUUCAUGAGAAAAUGUGCAAAGAAACAAUUAAAGAAGGAAAUAACACACAAAAAAUACACGUAAAACAAGAACAAACAUUUCAUAUAAAAUUAGAACAAAAAAGUACAGAAAAAAAUAUAAAUAACAACAAUUUUGAUGUAUUACGACAUUUAAAUACAGAUAUAAUAAGAGACAAUCGUAUAGACGAAUUUUUAAGAUUUGAUUCUCCUAUAAUUCGAUGUAGAAGUAGUAAUGAAUAUAUGUCGCCUAGAAAAAGGAAAUCAGAAAAUUUAUUGUAUAGUUAUAGAAGUAAAGACUUAGG
This is a long non-coding RNA of Piliocolobus tephrosceles (Ugandan red Colobus), 460 nucleotides long. RefSeq lists it as uncharacterized. The record is from RefSeq and is a predicted model, not a curated record. NCBI's taxonomy places the organism in Eukaryota, Metazoa, Chordata, Mammalia, Primates, Cercopithecidae. The transcript is spliced from 2 exons.